ACCAGCCAGCUACCCCUUGCUGGUCUCUCCUCCAUCCCAUUCAUUUCUCUGCUUUUUCUUUCUCAGCCCAUCUCUUUUUCUGAGAAAGGGUGGGCACUCCUGGGAGAGAUGGGCUUCUGGACCUUACUUUGCUACCUCUAAUGCUUCCUCUCAUCCCAUCCUACAGCCACCUGGUUUCCAUCGGGCCUAUAGUUCCCCACUCUACAGCAACCAGCAGUACGCUUGUGUCAAAGAUCUCUCUGCUGCCAAUCGCAAUGAUCCUGUGUUUGAAACCCUGCGCACUGGGGUGAUCAUGGCAAACAAGGAACGGAAGAAGGGACAGGCAGAUAAGAAAAAUCCUCUAGCAGCCAUGAUGGAGGAGGAGCCAGAGUCGGCCAGACCAGAGGAAGGCAAACCCCAGGAUGGAAACCCUGAAGGGGAUAAGAAGGCUGAGAAGAAGACACCUGAUGACAAGGUAAGAAUCCUUCCUCCCUGCAAGGAACCCAGUUCUCUCCCCAACCCAGCUCUGACACCACUACUCAUGGCCCUGGCAGAAGCUCACUCUUUAACUCCUAGGCUUCCCAUCACUUUUGACCCACACUCUCCAUCACCUUGCACACCCACCCACAACCAA
Molecule: small RNA, 613 nt
Filed under: Pan troglodytes (chimpanzee)
Lineage: Eukaryota; Metazoa; Chordata; Mammalia; Primates; Hominidae
Description: retained intron
Source: RNAcentral